Triticum urartu is the source of this 116-nucleotide non-coding RNA. The record is from Rfam. Lineage: Eukaryota; Viridiplantae; Streptophyta; Magnoliopsida; Poales; Poaceae.
UAUGUACUCCCUCCGUUCCAAAUUACUUGACCUUCAUUUGUCUAGAUACGAAUGUCUAGAUACAUCCGUGUCUAGACAAAUAGAGGUCAAGUAAUUUGGAACAGAGGGAGUACGUC